ACCCUUUAAUGUUUGAUGUUCUAACGUGGACCCGUGAUCCGGGUUGCGGACAGUGUCUGGUGGGUAGUUUGACUGGGGCGGUCUCCUCCUAAAGAGUAACGGAGGAGCACGAAGGUUGGCUAAUCCUGGUCGGACAUCAGGAGGUUAGUGCAAUGGCAUAAGCCAGCUUGACUGCGAGCGUGACGGCGCGAGCAGGUGCGAAAGCAGGUCAUAGUGAUCCGGUGGUUCUGAAUGGAAGGGCCAUCGCUCAACGGAUAAAAGGUACUCCGGGGAUAACAGGCUGAUACCGCCCAAGAGUUCAUAUCGACGGCGGUGUUUGGCACCUCGAUGUCGGCUCAUCACAUCCUGGGGCUGAAGUAGGUCCCAAGGGUAUGGCUGUUCGCCAUUUAAAGUGGUACGCGAGCUGGGUUUAGAACGUCGUGAGACAGUUCGGUCCCUAUCUGCCGUGGGCGCUGGAGAACUGAGGGGGGCUGCUCCUAGUACGAGAGGACCGGAGUGGACGCAUCACUGGUGUUCGGGUUGUCAUGCCAAUGGCACUGCCCGGUAGCUAAAUGCGGAAGAGAUAAGUGCUGAAAGCAUCUAAGCACGAAACUUGCCCCGAGAUGAGUUCUCCCUGAGACUUUAGGUCUCCUGAAGGAACGUUGAAGACGACGACGUUGAUAGGCCGGGUGUGUAAGCGCAGCGAUGCGUUGAGCUAACCGGUACUAAUGAACCGUGAGGCUUAACCUUACAACGCCGAAG
RNAcentral lists this ribosomal RNA (741 nucleotides) under Salmonella enterica. RNAcentral's name for it is "partial 23S ribosomal RNA". It matches the Rfam family "Bacterial large subunit ribosomal RNA", at positions 2202 to 2925 of the family's 2925-position model. Lineage: Bacteria; Pseudomonadati; Pseudomonadota; Gammaproteobacteria; Enterobacterales; Enterobacteriaceae. The record is from RNAcentral. RNAcentral also lists the same sequence under 4 other names.